AGGAAGCGAGAAGUCGACGCGCCGAAAGGCGUCCGGCCCUCCGCGAGCGCCCGCGGGGGUUCGGGUUACGGACCCGGUCCGAUCCCGUUCCCACCGAGGGGCUGUCCGCGAUGAAGGAGGUGUCCUCGGACGGCGUCGAAUCUUUUCUCCGGUCCGCGACGCUGCGGCUUGGAUGGUCCACCCGACCCGUCUUGAAACACGGACCAAGGAGUCUAACAUGCGCGCGAGUCGUUGGGUCGGACGCGCUCCGCUAAACCCAUAGGCGCAAUGAAAGUGAAGGCCGCCGUUCGGGCGGCCGAGGGAGGACGGGGCCUCUGGCCCCCGCACCCCCGGGGCGUCUGAUCCCUCAUCGCGAGGGGAGGCGCACCCAGAGCGCACACGUUGGGACCCGAAAGAUGGUGAACUAUGCCUGGCCAGGACGAAGUCAGGGGAAACCCUGAUGGAGGUCCGUAGCGAUUCUGACGUGCAAAUCGAUCGUCGGAGCUGGGUAUAGGGGCGAAAGACUAAUCGAACCAUCUAGUAGCUGGUUCCCUCCGAAGUUUCCCUCAGGAUAGCUUGCGCUCGGAGGAGAGUCUCAUCCGGUAAAGCGAAUGAUUAGAGGCCUUGGGGCCGAAACGGCUUCAACCUAUUCUCAAACUUUAAAUGGGUGAGAGCUCCGGCUUGCUCGAUACGUCGAAGCCGGAGACAGGAUCGGAGUGCCUAGUGGGCCACUUUUGGUAAGCAGAACUGGCGCUGUGGGAUGAACCAAACGACGGGUUAAGGCGCCCGAAUCGACGCUCAUGGGAAACCAUGAAAGGUGUUGGUUGCUUAAGACAGCAGGACGGUGGCCAUGGAAGUCGGAAUCCGCUAAGGAGUGUGUAAUAACUCACCUGCCGAAGCAACUAGCCCUGAAAAUGGAUGGCGCUGAAGCGUCGUGCCUAUACCCGGCCGUCGCGGCGGGGCGGACCCGGUCUCGAACCGGGUGCCGUUCGAUGCGGCGACGAGUAGGAGGGUCGCGGCGGCGUGCGCAGAAGGGUCUGGGCUCGAGCCUGCCUGGAGCCGCCGCCGGUGCAGAUCUUGGUGGUAGUAGCAAAUACUCCAGCGAGGCCCUGGAGGACUGAUGUGGAGAAGGGUUUCGUGUGAACAGCCGUUGCACACGAGUCAGUCGAUCCUAAGCCCUAGGAGAAAUCCGACGCCUACGGCGACGGGUAGAAAUUUAUGAAAUGUGAAAGAAUCCCGUUGAUCGGGCGAAAGGGAAUCCGGUUCCUAUUCCGGAACCCGGCAGCGGAACCGCUGUUUGUCGGGCCCUCACAAGGGGUUCGUCAGGGUAACCUAAAAGGGCCCGGAGACGCCGUCGGGAGCCCCGGAAAGAGUUUUCUUUUCUGCAUGAGCGUUCGAGUUCCCUG
RNAcentral lists this ribosomal RNA (1385 nucleotides) under Austroagrion watsoni. RNAcentral's name for it is "eukaryotic LSU rRNA". It matches the Rfam family "Eukaryotic large subunit ribosomal RNA", at positions 592 to 1722 of the family's 3401-position model. Lineage: Eukaryota; Metazoa; Arthropoda; Insecta; Odonata; Coenagrionidae. The record is from RNAcentral.